RNAcentral lists this ribosomal RNA (1556 nucleotides) under Salmonella enterica subsp. enterica serovar Montevideo str. USDA-ARS-USMARC-1904. Its description in RNAcentral is "bacterial SSU rRNA". It matches the Rfam family "Bacterial small subunit ribosomal RNA". Lineage: Bacteria; Pseudomonadati; Pseudomonadota; Gammaproteobacteria; Enterobacterales; Enterobacteriaceae. RNAcentral also lists the same sequence under 2 other names. The record is from RNAcentral.
UUAAAUUGAAGAGUUUGAUCAUGGCUCAGAUUGAACGCUGGCGGCAGGCCUAACACAUGCAAGUCGAACGGUAACAGGAAGCAGCUUGCUGCUUCGCUGACGAGUGGCGGACGGGUGAGUAAUGUCUGGGAAACUGCCUGAUGGAGGGGGAUAACUACUGGAAACGGUGGCUAAUACCGCAUAACGUCGCAAGACCAAAGAGGGGGACCUUCGGGCCUCUUGCCAUCAGAUGUGCCCAGAUGGGAUUAGCUUGUUGGUGAGGUAACGGCUCACCAAGGCGACGAUCCCUAGCUGGUCUGAGAGGAUGACCAGCCACACUGGAACUGAGACACGGUCCAGACUCCUACGGGAGGCAGCAGUGGGGAAUAUUGCACAAUGGGCGCAAGCCUGAUGCAGCCAUGCCGCGUGUAUGAAGAAGGCCUUCGGGUUGUAAAGUACUUUCAGCGGGGAGGAAGGUGUUGUGGUUAAUAACCGCAGCAAUUGACGUUACCCGCAGAAGAAGCACCGGCUAACUCCGUGCCAGCAGCCGCGGUAAUACGGAGGGUGCAAGCGUUAAUCGGAAUUACUGGGCGUAAAGCGCACGCAGGCGGUCUGUCAAGUCGGAUGUGAAAUCCCCGGGCUCAACCUGGGAACUGCAUUCGAAACUGGCAGGCUUGAGUCUUGUAGAGGGGGGUAGAAUUCCAGGUGUAGCGGUGAAAUGCGUAGAGAUCUGGAGGAAUACCGGUGGCGAAGGCGGCCCCCUGGACAAAGACUGACGCUCAGGUGCGAAAGCGUGGGGAGCAAACAGGAUUAGAUACCCUGGUAGUCCACGCCGUAAACGAUGUCUACUUGGAGGUUGUGCCCUUGAGGCGUGGCUUCCGGAGCUAACGCGUUAAGUAGACCGCCUGGGGAGUACGGCCGCAAGGUUAAAACUCAAAUGAAUUGACGGGGGCCCGCACAAGCGGUGGAGCAUGUGGUUUAAUUCGAUGCAACGCGAAGAACCUUACCUGGUCUUGACAUCCACGGAAGAAUUCAGAGAUGGAUUUGUGCCUUCGGGAACCGUGAGACAGGUGCUGCAUGGCUGUCGUCAGCUCGUGUUGUGAAAUGUUGGGUUAAGUCCCGCAACGAGCGCAACCCUUAUCCUUUGUUGCCAGCGGUCCGGCCGGGAACUCAAAGGAGACUGCCAGUGAUAAACUGGAGGAAGGUGGGGAUGACGUCAAGUCAUCAUGGCCCUUACGACCAGGGCUACACACGUGCUACAAUGGCGCAUACAAAGAGAAGCGACCUCGCGAGAGCAAGCGGACCUCAUAAAGUGCGUCGUAGUCCGGAUUGGAGUCUGCAACUCGACUCCAUGAAGUCGGAAUCGCUAGUAAUCGUGGAUCAGAAUGCCACGGUGAAUACGUUCCCGGGCCUUGUACACACCGCCCGUCACACCAUGGGAGUGGGUUGCAAAAGAAGUAGGUAGCUUAACCUUCGGGAGGGCGCUUACCACUUUGUGAUUCAUGACUGGGGUGAAGUCGUAACAAGGUAACCGUAGGGGAACCUGCGGUUGGAUCACCUCCUUACCUGAAAGAAGC